GACGAACGCUGGCGGCGUGCUUAACACAUGCAAGUCGAACGAAGAGCGAUGGACGCUUGCUUCUAUCAAUCUUAGUGGCGAACGGGUGUGUAACGUGUAAUCAACCUGCCCUUCAGAGGGGGACAACAGUUGGAAACGACUGCUAAUACCGCAUACGAUCUAACCUCGGCAUCGAGGAUAGAUGAAAGGUGGCCUCUACAUGUAAGCUAUCACUGAAGGAGGGGAUUGCGUCUGAUUAGCUAGUUGUAGGGGUAACGGCCCACCAAGGCGAUGAUCAGUAGCCGGUCUGAGAGGAUGAACGGCCACAUUGGGACUGAGACACGGCCCAGACUCCUACGGGAGGCAGCAGUGGGGAAUCUUCCGCAAUGGACGAAAGUCUGACGGAGCAACGCCGCGUGAGUGAUGACGGCCUUCGGGUUGUAAAGCUCUGUUAAUCGGGACGAAAGGCCUUCUUGCGAAUAGUUAGAAGGAUUGACGGUACCGGAAUAGAAAGCCACGGCUAACUACGUG
Molecule: ribosomal RNA, 510 nt
Filed under: uncultured bacterium
Lineage: Bacteria
Description: partial 16S ribosomal RNA
Rfam family: Bacterial small subunit ribosomal RNA
Source: RNAcentral